AGAUGAAUCAAAGAAGGUAAUAAUCCUGUAGUCGAAAAUGUUGUCUCUCUUGAGUGGAUCCUGAGUACGACGGAGCACGUGAAAUUCCGUCGGAAUCUGGGAGGACCAUCUCCUAAGGCUAAAUACUCUCUAGUGACCGAUAGUGAACCAGUACCGUGAGGGAAAGGUGAAAAGCACCCCGGAAGGGGAGUGAAAUAGAACCUGAAACCGUGUGCUUACAAGUAGUCAGAGCCCGUUAAUGGGUGAUGGCGUGCCUUUUGUAGAAUGAACCGGCGAGUUACGAUUUGAUGCAAGGUUAAGCAGUAAAUGUGGAGCCGUAGCGAAAGCGAGUCUGAAUAGGGCGUUUAGUAUUUGGUCGUAGACCCGAAACCAGGUGAUCUACCCUUGGUCAGGUUGAAGUUCAGGUAACACUGAAUGGAGGACCGAACCGACUUACGUUGAAAAGUGAGCGGAUGAACUGAGGGUAGCGGAGAAAUUCCAAUCGAACCUGGAGAUAGCUGGUUCUCUCCGAAAUAGCUUUAGGGCUAGCCUCAAGUGAUGAUUAUUGGAGGUAGAGCACUGUUUGGACGAGGGGCCCCUCUCGGGUUACCGAAUUCAGACAAACUCCGAAUGCCAAUUAAUUUAACUUGGGAGUCAGAACAUGGGUGAUAAGGUCCGUGUUCGAAAGGGAAACAGCCCAGACCACCAGCUAAGGUCCCAAAAUAUAUGUUAAGUGGAAAAGGAUGUGGCGUUGCCCAGACAACUAGGAUGUUGGCUUAGAAGCAGCCAUCAUUUAAAGAGUGCGUAAUAGCUCACUAGUCGAGUGACACUGCGCCGAAAAUGUACCGGGGCUAAACAUAUUACCGAAGCUGUGGAUUGUCCUUUGGACAAUGGUAGGAGAGCGUUCUAAGGGCGUUGAAGCAUGAUCGCAAGGACAUGUGGAGCGCUUAGAAGUGAGAAUGCCGGUGUGAGUAGCGAAAGACGGGUGAGAAUCCCGUCCACCGAUUGACUAAGGUUUCCAGAGGAAGGCUCGUCCGCUCUGGGUUAGUCGGGUCCUAAGCUGAGGCCGACAGGCGUAGGCGAUGGAUAACAGGUUGAUAUUCCUGUACCACCUAUAAUCGUUUUAAUCGAUGGGGGGACGCAGUAGGAUAGGCGAAGCGUGCGAUUGGAUUGCACGUCUAAGCAGUAAGGCUGAGUAUUAGGCAAAUCCGGUACUCAUUAAGGCUGAGCUGUGAUGGGGAGAAGACAUUGUGUCUUCGAGUCGUUGAUUUCACACUGCCGAGAAAAGCCUCUAGAUAGAAAAUAGGUGCCCGUACCGCAAACCGACACAGGUAGUCAAGAUGAGAAUUCUAAGGUGAGCGAGCGAACUCUCGUUAAGGAACUCGGCAAAAUGACCCCGUAACUUCGGGAGA
This 1391-nucleotide ribosomal RNA is filed under the name Staphylococcus argenteus. RNAcentral describes it as "partial 23S ribosomal RNA". It matches the Rfam family "Bacterial large subunit ribosomal RNA", at positions 348 to 1743 of the family's 2925-position model. The record is from RNAcentral. Lineage: Bacteria; Bacillati; Bacillota; Bacilli; Caryophanales; Staphylococcaceae.